Molecule: long non-coding RNA, 458 nt
Organism: Tachyglossus aculeatus (Australian echidna)
Lineage: Eukaryota; Metazoa; Chordata; Mammalia; Monotremata; Tachyglossidae
Exons: 4
Source: RefSeq, a predicted model, not a curated record
UUCUGCCUGGUCAGUGGGGCCUGGAGGUGCCAUUUCUGGAAUUUACCACAAAAGGAAGAGCCUUGCUCCAGCAGAGCUGCGUGUGGGGGAAGAAGAGUGUCCAGUAAAUGCCACAGAUGGAUUGUGGAAAGCUGAUCAGAGUGGCUGUAAUAGGAAUGACUGGUUAUCUGAAUGGAGUCCAGCUCAAAUAACCAAAAAAACAGAUCUGAGGCAAAUUCCAGCUAAAUCAGGCCCAGGGGAAAAUGGAGACUUUCUCAGGGUGGCUGGUCCACAGAAGAACUCCCAAGUCAAAGGUCGACAGUGACGGUGUCCCCGUCGGUCUGGAAGGUGACCGUGGCGUGACGGACCGUGAACACCAUCUGGGGCUGCUGUGUGGCCUCCUUCACCUGCAGAGGAAUAAGCGGAAAUUUCAGACGGGUUCCUUGACUCCUGCCGGCUAUCUACGUGAACAGGUGAGU